Molecule: transfer RNA, 69 nt
Filed under: Marmota marmota marmota (Alpine marmot)
Lineage: Eukaryota; Metazoa; Chordata; Mammalia; Rodentia; Sciuridae
Also listed under: 2 other names
Rfam family: tRNA
About the family: Transfer RNA (tRNA) molecules are approximately 80 nucleotides in length. Their secondary structure includes four short double-helical elements and three loops (D, anti-codon, and T loops). Further hydrogen bonds mediate the characteristic L-shaped molecular structure. tRNAs have two regions of fundamental functional importance: the anti-codon, which is responsible for specific mRNA codon recognition, and the 3' end, to which the tRNAs corresponding amino acid is attached (by aminoacyl-tRNA synthetases). tRNAs cope with the degeneracy of the genetic code in two manners: having more than one tRNA (with a specific anti-codon) for a particular amino acid; and 'wobble' base-pairing, i.e. permitting non-standard base-pairing at the 3rd anti-codon position.
Source: Rfam by way of RNAcentral
GGGGUUGUGGCUCAGUGGCAGAGUGCUUGCCUAGCAUGCAUGAGGCCCUGGGUUUGAUCCUCAGCACCA